Molecule: long non-coding RNA, 1444 nt
Filed under: Salvia miltiorrhiza (redroot sage)
Lineage: Eukaryota; Viridiplantae; Streptophyta; Magnoliopsida; Lamiales; Lamiaceae
Description: long non-coding RNA (SMIL_LNC007503)
Source: RNAcentral
CAAGAUGAUCUUCAUUCAAUAAGAUAAUGCAAAGUCUCACAUUAGAACCCAGACCCUAGGGUUACAACCUCUGAAGAUAGCUUUGACAUUAGAAUAGUUCAACUCCAAAAUUCACCUGACACAAAUGUGAAUGAUCUGAGAUGAUUUAGAGUUAUUCAAAGUAUUUAAAUUGAAUCAAUAUGCUAUAAUGUUGACCAAUUGAUCAAUGCAAUUGAUGAAUCAUAUGCACAACUAUCUCUGCAUACUUUAAACAAAGUAUUCAUGAGCUUGCAAGGCUACAAUGCAAGAAAUCACGAAAGAAAUGGGCCACAAUGCCUACAGGAUACUACGUAUGAAAAAAGAUGCACUAGAGAGUGGAUCAUCAACUACUCCUAACUAACUUGGAAGUGCCACUUAACUUAGUAGAAGAGUGCAUAAUUUACAUGUUUGAAAAUGCUUCAAUGCUUUGUGUGGAAGGGCUAAUGGAUCAGUUCCUACAAUGAGGAAUUUAGAAAAUGAUGUUAGAUAUUUUUGUACAGACAGAAAACAUGUAAAGAUGCCUAUUGUUUUUUUUUUUUUUUUUUUUUGUUAGAAGGCUACUAUUUUUUAUGCCUAGAAAAACAUGUGUGUAGCAACAUAGUCUACUUGUUUAAGGUGUAAAAGAUGAUAUUUUUUUUAAUCCAUUAACUCUACAUGCUUUACAUAUGAAUGCACCAAACAAGCACAAAACAUAAUCCAAACCUCACAUAUGAAGAUAACAGCCAGCCAACAACCACAAAACACAAUCCAAACCUCACAUAUGAAGGAAGAACCGGCCUACAACCACAACACACAAUCCAACAGGGUCAUAACCUUAAAUCAUUGAAAAUUUUCAAAUAAAAUGUAGGCAAAAAUAAUCAUUUCAGCAUAAUUUCAAUACCGACGACAUAGUACUAGCCCACGUACCCCAAAUCGUAACAAUAUAAUCGAGUGUAGGGCAUUCAAGUAUCUCAAAUAUAGUGUGAUAAAAAAAUUAUUAUUUUAAUUUAAUUCAACCUACCUACAAUAAAAAAACAAGUGUAAAAGGAAACUCCUCACAAAUUUGCAGAUUAGGGGUAGCAAGAUUCACAACAUGUAUCACUUGUAGAAGGCUUCGCUCAAACCACCUGCUCCUCAGUCUUGGGGACAUCCAUCCAGCCUUCAUAAGUGCUUGCCCAUAUCGAUUCGUCUACUAUGUCGUCGAGAGAUAUGUUGGACCAUGGUGGCAGUAAGUCGGCGACGAUGAGGUCGCUCAUAUCGUCAUCUAACCCCAAAGAAUCGAGGGUCGUCGAUGGAGGAUCGGAGCUUGUCUUCUUUUUCGUCGUUGCGGCGGACGACGGAUGAUGGAUUUGGGCAGGUUUGCACAGAGAAGGGGUUGCACCGACAGAGAAUUCGAGAGAGAAGUGUAAGAGGCGGUUGUAUUAGAGUGAAGCAAUAAAUUAAAAAU